Triticum aestivum (bread wheat) is the source of this 3254-nucleotide long non-coding RNA. RefSeq lists it as uncharacterized. The record is from RefSeq and is a predicted model, not a curated record. Lineage: Eukaryota; Viridiplantae; Streptophyta; Magnoliopsida; Poales; Poaceae. The transcript has 3 exons.
AACUGCCUAUCGCGCGAUCGCGGCAUCACGCACUCUCCGACUCGGCUCGCGGCCGGCAAUCAGCGACUUGCCGUCGCCCAUCUCUCACGCUUGUGCGCCGUCGCAGCCGCAACACAACCUCAUCACCCAUUGUGUAAUUUCAGCGUUCUAAUUCACAUCAAGUUGUAGGUUCGAUUGUUAGACAAUGUGUCAAUGUUCUCUUUUGUGACUAGGAACAAGAUCUCAACUCACUGGUGCGGCCAUGGGGUGGCCGUCUACGGUGCCUGGUUUGGCUCCUAUACGGCUCGUCGAUCUCUCAGACCGGUCAACGAUGACGGAGUGGUAGCAGGGCCCAAGGGAGAAGCGGCUCAAGGGGGGGAAGCGAGCUCGUCGAUCUGGACGACGCCAUUGCCGUCGGCGUCUAUCCAGGUGAUGUGGGUGUGGAUCUUGUCUCCCGCAGACAGGUUGGAUCCACCUUGAUUGUGAGAUGCUGACGGCGUUGUUUUCGAUCGCAUCGUGGCUGCCCCCGAGCGAGGCAGCCCGGCAGGUCAUCUUCAUCCUGGACUGGCAGCCUGAUUUCGGCAGCUCAUUCUUCCACUUGCAGGUCCCCCUUCUGUCUUUUCCUACCCCACUCAUGUUUUUGUUUCUUAUCCUUUUUCUGCAUGUGUAUGGGUAAACCAAUAUUAUGCGAUUAAGGUGUUGCUUGUUAGGAUGUAUAUCUGUUUAUGCUCCCCUGCCCCGUUCAUAUUCAACAAAUUUAGUAAGUAAUUAGUGUAUUCGUGAUUAGCCAUGUCUUACUAUUUAGUACUACCAAAGAUAAAGUUUUUAGGAAAAUAGGUGCGAUUGCAUCCUACAUAUGAACUAAAACGAUGCGUGGAUGUUAUCACUAUUGGCUUGUACUACUAUAGAAUAACCUUAAAAUAUCAGAUAACACAAAGUGUCGACAUUUGGCAUUAUCCAGCUAUUUCCACCAAAUGUUGAUGCAUGUUUCCAAUACUUCUAUGAGUAGUAGACCAUAUCCAUUCUGCUAUAUAAUGCUAGCAUAGAAAAGUCAGUUUUUUAUUUUGAAGAUAGUUUUGCAGUGUACUAUUUUUUCAUCUACUUAUGUUUAUCUAAAUAAAAGGCUAGUAGCAUCUGGAAGUUUGUUUUUGUUCCUACCUUUAGAAUAUUUUUGUGUAGGCUAUGUUCUUGACCACAUCAUCCUUGUUGUUAGUUCAUUUGCUAUAGAAAAGAAAAUAACAGGUAUGAUCAAGUUAGUAGGCUAUUACUGGCAAGUGUUUUCCCAAAGUAUCUCCUUUUUCUUAUGUCCCUCAUGAACUCAUUGAGCUUUAUGUGGAACAUUCGAUCAACAAUAUCAGGUUUCUGUGAUGUUCUUUGGCCUACUUCCAUAAGCAUAGAUUGAAUAUCCGGCCAAGCUGUGUUGCACGUGAAUGCCACAAAUAGGUCUGUGUAUCAAGCCCAUCGACAUCUUGCUAUAGCAUCUUGGUAGUUUUGUGCUUGUAUCUGAGGUUAUCUAUGAAGCUGGAUGGCAGUAGUAUUCUCCUUCCUACCUCGUCAGCCCUUGUAUCUCCUCUUUAUGUUGCGUCUUGCAAGUCAGCAUAUAAUUCUGCUCUUAUGUUUCCUUGAUGUUUUUUGGUCCAGUCUAGUCUGUACUACAAAAUGCAUGCAAGGGCAUCCACAUUGAACUUCCGAAGUUGCUCGUUCGUUGAGGUUCUUCUCGCCUUGUAUGCAUGUCCCAACGCCCUUCUAAAGUUGCUCUUUCUUCAUACCAGAAAAUUGCACCAUACCAUUCACAUUUGCGUCUUGGACUUCCGAAGUUCCAAAUUUCCAUAUCUGUCCUUUUCGAUGUCCUGUUUAAGUUUCUGAAUUUAGCAUCAAUUUGAAUAUUAGUAUGUUCUUUUUUCCUACUAAUACAACAAACUUAAUAGAACUGACAUAUCUGGUUAUUCUGCCCUUGAUUUUUUCUAUUGCACACUUUGUGUUACUUUUAGUCAUGUACACACGCUUAACAGAAUUACCAGGUUCAUGAAUGUCCAAAUUGUAGAUCUUAAUUGAAUUUUCUUGCUACUUACCUCGUAGUUUUACCACCUAUUCUUUCCUGUGGCAGUUCAACAAUGCUGAUUUUGCCUCAGUCAAUGCACAUGAUUGACAUCUGUACAUGAUAUGGUUCCCUGUGGUAAUUCAACAAUGCUGAUUUUGCCUCCGUCUUGAUUAAGCCAUGUUGCAUGGAAAUGUGUUUUCAUGUUUAAAAAAAAAGCUGAUAGGUACAAUCAGGAACAAAUGCAACAUGUUUUUGUGAUUUAAUAUAGCACUUGGAAGGAAUGGAACACAUAGAUAUCACAAUUGAUGCGCAAAGACGAAGCAAGCUAUAAUGAUGCUUCCAGUAUACCAUACUACAGUCGUGCAACAUGUAAGGGAAGUUUAGCAAUUGAAUUAAGAACAGUAAGUUAAGAUAGUGGAUGAUAAUACACAUAAGAAUACCUUUGUGAUGAUUUGCUUAUGGCACGCGGUUGGCAUAUUUGUGCAGUCUGGCACAUCUCCAUGUAUGAUCGAACGCUGUCUCUUGUUGUUGUCUUGAAGUUUCAUUCUCCUUUCCUAAUCCUAUCUUGUUAUUAUUGAUUGUCUGGAUUCACAUCAAUAUUAUAAUAUAUUUUUCCAUGCUUAAAUCAAUUAUGAACACAAAUGUGCCUAACUGGAAUUGUUGCAUUAUAUAAUUUAGGUGUAACAUUUUUGUGAUAUCGCUUAUUAAAAGUGCAUGAUUAGCAACGGAUCACCUUGUUGGAUUGUAUAUUUGAUUGCUUUUAACUACCUUGGCAAGUUUCUCACAUUAUUGCAAUGUGGUCCACCUUUUAUUUUCAUCGUUUCUUCCUGCACAAUAUAGAAAACAUGUGUUAGAGAAGGUGAUAUUGUAAAAUUGGUACCGAGUACUGCUGAAGGUUAUGGAGAUCUAUGAUUUUGAUUAAUUAUUCGUCUUACAAUUUUUUGUUUUGUUGUAGAAGUAAGGGAGAUCAACUUCCAAGAUCAGUGAUUGUGGUGAAAGCUUUAAUGUUAAAGUGGAUGUUAAGUUUCAAUCAUCAUGAUGAAGACACAUAUUUGUGAGGGUCUUUUACCCUUCUGUUGUUUUUAGAUGAUAGUCUAUAUGAAACCAUAUAUGGGUGAAGAAUUAGAUUGUAAUUGAGGAUGGCAAGUUCAUGCACAAUUACGAUUGAAGAAUCGCAAGGGAACUUGCCUGGUCUAAAUUUGAAAGCUAUUUGAUUAUGUACCUUGAGUUGAAA